AUAACAGUGGAGGAGGAAUAGAUCUUGAAUACAGCGGCCAUCAUUUUGUGGCAGUCGGAGACAAAUUUUCCAUAACAUGCAUUACCACAGUGGAUUUGUACCCUCAGUGGACAUUCAAUGGUAAUGCUGUCAUCCCAGGGGAGGCUGGCUUUACCAUGCUUGAAGGUCAUGGAACCCAGGGAUACAUUGUGAGUCGUUUAUCAGUUGUGCAGGCUCAUACCUUCCAUGCCGGGGAAUACAAGUGUUCCCCAUUAACUGAUAAAACUCAUUCUGUUUAUGUCAUUGGUGGUAAGACGGUGCAGGGA
Penaeus monodon (black tiger shrimp) is the source of this 305-nucleotide long non-coding RNA. RefSeq lists it as uncharacterized. NCBI's taxonomy places the organism in Eukaryota, Metazoa, Arthropoda, Malacostraca, Decapoda, Penaeidae. The record is from RefSeq and is a predicted model, not a curated record. The transcript is spliced from 2 exons.